CAGCUGAUGUCACAUGUCAUGUAUCAGAAGUGCCACGUGGAGGAAAGGACAAGAAAACCACCAGCCCUAUUAAAUGCUGCUUGGUUUAUCCCAGCACAAGCCAGAGCAGGAGGAACACACCGGCUUCCAGUAAACUGCAACAAAGUUCUGCUAAGUCAUGCCUCUCCCCUCCUACAGCAAGCCCAGUAGAGUGUGAGAGCAUUUCUCUGGCAGAAGCCUGGCCCCCGCCUCCCCCGCUGCAGUAACGUAGAACGCCUAGCUGGAGAAAUCAAGUGCAUCCUGUGUGACCCCAUUGGGAGAAGACUCUGGAAGCUUAUGCCUGGUUUCCUCUGGACUUUGCCCCUUGAGCUUUUCAUCUUUGCUGAUUCUACUUUGUGUCCUUUUGUUAUAAUAAAUCGUAGACAUGAGCGUGACUGUAUAUUGACUCCUGCAAGUCCUUCGAGCAAAUUGUCAGGUCUGGGAUGGUCUUGGGAACCCCUGACAGGGAAGUGAAUGUGACUGAGUUUAGGGCACUACUCCAGAAUGUAUUCGAAAGCUCUGAUUUCCCCCCCCCUUUUUUUUUCCUCUAAAUGUAUAUGACCUGUGAUUUGGGAUAAAAGAUUGUGUAACUGUAUCCACAAACACACAUACAGUAAAAUAUAGUUUGUGUGU
Mustela erminea (ermine) is the source of this 651-nucleotide long non-coding RNA. RefSeq lists it as uncharacterized. The record is from RefSeq and is a predicted model, not a curated record. Lineage: Eukaryota; Metazoa; Chordata; Mammalia; Carnivora; Mustelidae. The transcript is spliced from 3 exons.